This 438-nucleotide ribosomal RNA is filed under the name uncultured bacterium. RNAcentral describes it as "partial 16S ribosomal RNA". It matches the Rfam family "Bacterial small subunit ribosomal RNA", at positions 338 to 795 of the family's 1533-position model. The record is from RNAcentral.
CCUACGGGGGGCAGCAGUGAGGAAUAUUGGUCAAUGGCCGAGAGGCUGAACCAGCCAAGUCGCGUGAGGGAAGAAUGUCCUAUGGAUUGUAAACCUCUUUUGUCAGGGCCCGAUGAGAGUACCCGGAGAAAAAGCAUCGGCUAACUCCGUGCCAGCAGCCGCGGUAAUACGGAGGAUGCGAGCGUUAUCCGGAUUUAUUGGGUUUAAAGGGUGCGUAGGCGGGCUGUUAAGUCAGCGGUCAAAUGUCGGGGCUCAACCCCGGCCUGCCGUUGAAACUGGCGGCCUCGAGUGGGCGAGAAGUAUGCGGAAUGCGUGGUGUAGCGGUGAAAUGCAUAGAUAUCACGCAGAACUCCGAUUGCGAAGGCAGCAUACCGGCGCCCGACUGACGCUGAGGCACGAAAGCGUGGGUAUCGAACAGGAUUAGAUACCCGGGUAGUC